CAUGCAAGUCGAACGGUAACAGGGGCUUCGGCCCGCUGACGAGUGGCGGACGGGUGAGUAACGCGUAGGAAUCUACCUAGUAGUGGGGGAUAGCCCGGGGAAACCCGGAUUAAUACCGCAUACGCCCUACGGGGGAAAGCAGGGGCUCCUUUGGACCUUGCGCUAUUGGAUGAGCCUACGUCUGAUUAGCUUGUUGGUAGGGUAAUGGCCUACCAAGGCGACGAUCAGUAGCUGGUCUGAGAGGACGAUCAGCCACACUGGGACUGAGACACGGCCCAGACUCCUACGGGAGGCAGCAGUGGGGAAUAUUGGACAAUGGGCGAAAGCCUGAUCCAGCAAUGCCGCGUGUGUGAAGAAGGCCUGCGGGUUGUAAAGCACUUUCAGCAGGGAAGAAGAGUCUUGAGGCUAAUAUCCUCAAGGCUUGACGUUACCUGCAGAAGAAGCACCGGCUAACUCCGUGCCAGCAGCCGCGGUAAUACGGAGGGUGCCAGCGUUAAUCGGAAUUACUGGGCGUAAAGCGCGCGUAGGCGGUUUAGCAAGUCGGAUGUGAAAGCCCCGGGCUUAACCUGGGAAUUGCAUUCGAGACUGCUUGGCUAGAGUUUGGUAGAGGAAAGCGGAAUUCCGGGUGUAGCGGUGAAAUGCGUAGAUAUCCGGAGGAACAUCAGUGGCGAANGCGGCUUUCUGGGCNAAAACUGACGCUGA
RNAcentral lists this ribosomal RNA (702 nucleotides) under uncultured bacterium. Its description in RNAcentral is "bacterial SSU rRNA". It matches the Rfam family "Bacterial small subunit ribosomal RNA", at positions 54 to 749 of the family's 1533-position model. The record is from RNAcentral.